RNAcentral lists this long non-coding RNA (248 nucleotides) under Salvia miltiorrhiza (redroot sage). RNAcentral's name for it is "long non-coding RNA (SMIL_LNC004268)". The record is from RNAcentral. Lineage: Eukaryota; Viridiplantae; Streptophyta; Magnoliopsida; Lamiales; Lamiaceae.
UUUUNUGUUUUUUUAAAGUUGGAUGUAUUAUAUGUGCCUAACAUAUCGCUUGAUAUUGGAAAGGUUUUCUUGAGUACGUCUAUAAAUUAAUAACAACUGUAAAUAUAAAUCAAUACAGUUGAGAAACUCUUUUAACCAUUUUUUUUUUUUUUUUGAGAAUAAAACUCUUUUAACUUUUGAUAUAACUUCAUAAUUCCCAUCUGUUAGUUGUGUCAGCAUGAUUAGCUUGUCAUUUUGACAGUGACAAU